RNAcentral lists this ribosomal RNA (468 nucleotides) under uncultured bacterium. RNAcentral describes it as "partial 16S ribosomal RNA". It matches the Rfam family "Bacterial small subunit ribosomal RNA", at positions 28 to 507 of the family's 1533-position model. The record is from RNAcentral.
GACGAACGCUGGCGGCGUGCUUAACACAUGCAAGUCGAACGGAAAGGCCCUGCUUUUGUGGGGUGCUCGAGUGGCGAACGGGUGAGUAACACGUGAGUAACCUGCCCUUGACUUUGGGAUAACUUCAGGAAACUGGGGCUAAUACCGGAUAGGAGCUCCUGCUGCAUGGUGGGGGUGGGAAAGUUUCGGCGGUUGUGGAUGGACUCGCGGGUUAUCAGCUUGUUGGUGGGGUAGUGGCUUACCCAGGCUUUGACGGGUAGCCGGCCUGGGAGGGUGACCGGCCACAAUGGAACUGAGAGACGGACCAGACUCCUACGGGAGGCAGCAGUGGGGAAUAUUGCACAAUGGGCGGAAGCCUGAUGCAGCAGCGCCGCGUGCGGGAUGACGGCCUGCGGGGUGUAAACCGCUUUCGCCUGUGACGAAGCGUGAGUGACGGUAAUGGGUAAAGAAGCACCGGCUAACUACGUG